Molecule: long non-coding RNA, 857 nt
Filed under: Setaria viridis
Lineage: Eukaryota; Viridiplantae; Streptophyta; Magnoliopsida; Poales; Poaceae
Description: long non-coding RNA (SVIR_LNC007491)
Source: RNAcentral
GAGGAUGGCGCUUGCGGCAACAGCAGUGUGGGACGACUAAGCUUGCAGCGGACCACGGCGGUUUGCUCAGCUUGGCUAGGCUAUCCGGUGCGGUACAUCGUCGGAACACGGCGCAAGCGACUUCUUUAGCUUACUGACAUGACGGAGAAUGCUAUGUGCGAGGGUGAAGCAACGAGGCGAGGUCGACACACUGCGGCGGCCUGGCUGAUCAAUGAAGAUCUUGAGGAGCGGUGAUAUCGCUCAAACAUUCUGACGACAAAAGAAAUGGAUCCGUGACGUGGAGUACUGCGGUGGGGGUGGCGAGGCCCCCGUGCGAUGUCUCUUCGAGGUGACGAGAGAGAGGCAGAGUUCAAUGGCGGAUGUGGUGAGGUCCCGCGCGUUGUGUUAUCGUGGCGGCGACUACGAGGCAACCUGCGAGAGGUCCGGAUUCGGUGUUAUCACCCUGUCAGGUGGAGAGUGAUGUUAUAGUGGCACUACGGCGGAAGGUCCUGAAUGGCGGUGGCCUUCUUGGUGCGGUGCAGUCUGCUUCUCAAUUCAACGUCAACGCUAGGUUAUGCUAGGAGGUUUCGAUGACUUCUUGACCGUGUGUAUGGUGGUAGGGACUGUGGUAAGACUUCAGUUCUGUUGCUAAGGUGUUGAGAAGAGUUGAGUUCGGCGCGUGUUGAUAUCCCAAUUCAACCAACCGAUGUGUGGUAGAGUUGAUUUGUGUGUGAGGGCGUGGUGCGGUAUGCGUUGAUGACUCUAACCUGUCGGUGUUUGCGUUUUUUCAUUUUUUAUGUUUUCGUCCGGUCUACCUUUGGCAGCUCUCCUGCCGGAUUAGUUUUGAAAAAAAAACCAAUUCGAGGAGUUCAUGAAGG